Molecule: unclassified non-coding RNA, 805 nt
Filed under: Hevea brasiliensis (rubber tree)
Lineage: Eukaryota; Viridiplantae; Streptophyta; Magnoliopsida; Malpighiales; Euphorbiaceae
Source: RNAcentral
CCUUUAUCAAGUUAUAAAUUCUGGGGAGUAGUACUUAUUUGUAGAUGUUAGGGUUGCUGCUAAAGAUUUGCAUAUUAAAUGUGAACAGACAUGAAAAGUGAAUACGAAAUCAGGGCUUCUAUCUUAAAACUGGAGGAUGAAGAAUGGCAGCCAUAAGAGGGUUUGUUUCUAAUUAAUUAAUGUGACCAAGGUCCUUUUCCCCCCACCAUCAGACCAUAAUAUCUUCAAGACUGAUACGAGAGUGAACCAAAAAAGGCAAAUGGUAUGAUUCUUUUCCCACUGUCUUUUUUAUUGAUACGCUAAGAAGUCUGCAUAUUGACCACUCCAAUGUCCAAAGAUGGAAAUGGUUUCUAUCUAAAGCAAAACGAGAGAGAUUUUUGAGAGAAAAAAGAAAGCAAAAUGCAAUGAAUCUCUCAUCUGAUAAUAACUGAAGGCCUUGAUUGUUCUCCAGGCGAAUAUAUGACCACGCCAAAAUGAAAGCAAUUCGAAAACAUUUUAUCCUGAACAUUAUCUGAAAAGGAAAUUGAGAGAAUAAAGAAGUGAAGAGAACGUGUUGAAUCUCACGUCUGUUGAUAACCGGCGGCCUUGGAAGCUCAUCAUGAGUCACUCCUCGAGCGGGAACGCUAAAAUCAUUAACAUUGUUUUGACUGAUCAAGAAAUUUGGAGAUGGGUUUGGGAUCUCAUCCAGAAGAUUAUGUGAAGGAGAGAAAAAACUGUGACCCAAGUGAAACUGAUUAGCAGACGGCAAAAUCAACCCACGCAUGUUCACUGGGAGGAGGUUGGUGCAGUGACCGCAUCGAACAGU